Molecule: ribosomal RNA, 363 nt
Filed under: Columbicola wolffhuegeli
Lineage: Eukaryota; Metazoa; Arthropoda; Insecta; Psocodea; Philopteridae
Description: partial 12S ribosomal RNA
Source: RNAcentral
CCCUAUUAUUGAUGGAAGAAUUUUAAUUAGAGAGUAAGUCUUACUGAAAACUAUUCAGAAUGGCGGUUUUUUUUAUUAUCAGAUAAAUGUGUUUUGAAAACGAAAUUGCACGAACAUCUUUCUUGGUUUGGAAAAUCCAUCCUGUACACCGCCGUCUGAAGAAUCAAUUUAAUUAGUUAGUUCUAUUUCUUUGCAGGAAAUAAGUCAGGUUAGGUGCAGACAAUAAUCAAGAAAAAAUGCAUUUCACUUAGUUUGACCAAGGAGAAUUUGAAAGAGUUUGACCAAGGAGAAUUUGAAAGUAUGUUCUUUUUAUUAAAAAGAAAAGAAUUAAUACCAAAAAAUUGUACACAUCGCCCGUCGCUC